This 427-nucleotide long non-coding RNA is filed under the name Glycine max (soybean). Its description in RNAcentral is "long non-coding RNA (GMAX_LNC003888)". Lineage: Eukaryota; Viridiplantae; Streptophyta; Magnoliopsida; Fabales; Fabaceae. The record is from RNAcentral.
CAACAAAUAAAAAACAUUAUGAUUUUAAUAAUCUCAACAAUAAACACAUUAAAAAAUAAUAAAAAUUAAAAUUCUUGCGAUUACCCCCAACAACUAUUUGUAGAGUCCCAAAGCCAUAAAGUGAUCCAUAUAACAUUACUAUGAUUUUUAACAAGAAAAAAUAAAUAAGAAUGGGCUAAAAGAAAAGAAAAGGACUUGCUGGUCAAACUGCAAUGACAAUUGAUCUUCAAAAGAAUCUUUCAUCCAUCCAGGGAACUAUCCAAAAGAAGUUGAUAUACUCCUUCAAUGGAAUCACUAGACUCAUGUUCCCCACCUCAUGUUGAAUGUUGAAUGCUCGUGAUCAUUGUUACUUUUAUCGUAAAUUCUUUUAUUCCUUGUUGAAAAUUGUCAAAGGACAAUUUCUUGUUUGUCCUGUCCAUCUUUCCUA